UGCGUAGGCGGUUCUUUAAGUCAGGGGUGAAAGACGGUAGCUUAACUAUCGCAGUGCCUUUGAUACUGAAGAACUUGAAUACACUUGAGGUAGGCGGAAUGUGACAAGUAGCGGUGAAAUGCAUAGAUAUGUCACAGAACACCAAUUGCGAAGGCAGCUUACUAAAGUGUCAUUGACGCUGAGGCACGAAAGCGUGGGGAUCAAACAGGAUUAGAUACCCUGGUAGUCCACGCCCUAAACGAUGAAUACUCGAUGUUGGCGAUAUACGGUCAGCGUCUAAGCGAAAGCGUUAAGUAUUCCACCUGGGGAGUACGCCCGCAAGGGUGAA
Molecule: ribosomal RNA, 328 nt
Filed under: uncultured Mucilaginibacter sp.
Lineage: Bacteria; Pseudomonadati; Bacteroidota; Sphingobacteriia; Sphingobacteriales; Sphingobacteriaceae
Description: bacterial SSU rRNA
Rfam family: Bacterial small subunit ribosomal RNA
Source: RNAcentral